GACGAACGCUGGCGGCGUGCUUAACACAUGCAAGUCGAACGGAAAGGCCCUUCGGGUGCUCGCGUGGCGAACGGGUGAGAAACACGUGGGUGAUCUGCCCUGCACUUUGGGAUAAGCCGGGGAAACUGGGCCUACUACCGAAUAUGAUCAUCGGCUUCAUGGUCGGCGGUGGAAAGCUUUUGCGGUGUGGGAUGGGCCCGCGGCCUAUCAGCGUGUUGGGGGGGUAAGGGCCUACCACGGCGACGACGGGUAACCGGCCUGAGAGGGUGACCGGCCACACUGGGACUGAGAUACGGCCCAGACUCCUACGGGAGGCAGCAGUGGGCAAUAUUGCACAAUGGGCGCAAGCCUGAUGCAGCUACGCCGCGUGAGGGAUGACGGCCUUCGGGUUGUAAACCUCUUUCAGCACAGACGAAGCGCAAGUGACGGUAUGUGCAGAAGAAGGACCGGCCAACUACGUGCCAGCAGCCGCAGUAA
RNAcentral lists this ribosomal RNA (477 nucleotides) under uncultured bacterium. RNAcentral describes it as "partial 16S ribosomal RNA". It matches the Rfam family "Bacterial small subunit ribosomal RNA", at positions 28 to 523 of the family's 1533-position model. The record is from RNAcentral.